Girardinichthys multiradiatus is the source of this 3717-nucleotide RNA transcript. RefSeq lists it as uncharacterized. Lineage: Eukaryota; Metazoa; Chordata; Actinopteri; Cyprinodontiformes; Goodeidae. The record is from RefSeq and is a predicted model, not a curated record. The transcript is spliced from 5 exons.
GGAGCUUCACCAGGUCCAUGUCAAACAAGCUCAAGACACGGGUACAAGCUGUUGUGGAGUUAAAAGAGAAUGUGUCUUCUCAAAAAAUCUGUCCCACUUUCAUGUCAUAUUUGGUUAUCUGCCUGAUCUUGCCCACGAUGUUUUUGAGGGUAUAAUCCCAGUAGAGUUGGCACAUUGCUUGACAGUGCUUGUAUCAAAGAAGUUUUUCACGUUAGCUGACUUAAACAAUGCGAUUCUGAAGUCCCCCUAUCAAUGGGCAGAUAAGACAAGCAGGCCUCAUGUAGUGUCACAAACUUUCUCUAGCACAAAAACGGUUGGAGGAAAUGCACACAAAAACUGGAGCUUGCUCCGGUUCUUGCCUUUUUUAGUUGGAUCACUUGUGCCUGAGGAUGAGCCUGCGUGGCUUGUUCUCAUGGAUCUGAAGGAUAUCACAGAACUUGUUGUCUCCCCUGUGCAUAGCAAUGACUCACUGGCUUUUUUGGAAAGCAAAAUCAUAGAGCAUAGACAGAGAUAUCAGGCACUGUUCCCUGACGUCAAGCUACUACCCAAACACCAUUAUUUGGAUCAUUAUCCCCAGAUGAUUAGGUUUUUUGGUCCACUUGUUGAGCAUUGGACAAUGCGUUUUGAGGCUAAGCAUAGUUUUUUUAAGCAGGUCAUCAGACACACAAGCUGCUUCAAAAAUGUACCUCUCUCAUUAGCCUUAAAGCAUCAGAUGAUGAUUGCUUACCAUCUGAGUUCCCCAUCUCUUGGCAAGUCUGAACUAGAGGUCUCAACUGUAACAACAUUUCCAGUCGAUUUGCUUAAAGAAGAGAUAGCUCAAGUCAUUAGGCAUAGAUUCCCUGACAAAGUAGAGGUUGACCUUGCACAGUGUGUGACAAUAAAGGGCAUAACCUACAGGAAGGGAAUGGUACUGGCCCACAAGGCAGUAGGUGGAUUGCCAGGAUUCUGUGAAAUAAACCACAUCUGCAUUGUAAAACACAGCAUAUUCUACAUUGUCAGAGAGCUUGGUGGCUGGUACAGAGAGCAUUACAGAGCUUUUGAGCUCAACCCAGUAUCCGCAAGAAUGUUCACGCUUCUUUCACUCAGUGAACUCCUCGAUACUUAUCUGCUGGUUGACUACAAGAUUGGAUCAGUCCGCAUGGUGACUUUAAAAAGGCAUAUAGAAAUACAAGAGUAACUGCUUAAAAUGGGAACUCCAAUGAUCCUAAAGAUUGUCUUGACGGAUGGAACAUGUCAAAGGCUCACUCUCUCCAAUGCACUUCCUGAAUCAAUUAAGGAUCUCAUUGGUGAAGUCAAGACACAGUGUGGUCUUCAGGGCAAUAUCAGACUUCAGUUUAUGGACUCCUUGUUUGGGAACGAGUUCCUUAACCUUACCUCACUUUCAGAAGUAGCAGACAAAGGGACUCUCAAAGUCAUCGACAUGUCAAUGCCCACUACUAUGCUACAUGGGGAUUAUAUUGUUCUUGAUCUUGUCCAAGACUCCGAAGUCCCCAGUGCUUCCUCUGUUAACCACUCCCUUCUGUCUGAUGGAUCUGUGGACAUAGAUGUGUUGUCAUCAAAUGAGUCAACAAGCUCACGGUCUUCUUGGCCUCCUGUCUUUUAUGUGCCCAAGUUUCCCUACGAUGCAGAAUUAAAACUUGAGAAGGCAAGUAUGGCAUACAAUCAGAAUGGAACUGUACUUAUUCCAGAUCUGAAGUUGAAGUCAACCAUCCUUGAUGGUUUGGUGCAGGAAAUUGUCCAGUACAAAGUGUAUGUCAGUGAUAAAGAAAUGGAUCGAGUUACUCAGAGUCUGAUCAAGAAGCAUCCCUGUCUAACUGAGAGAGGCUCCACCACUGGAUGUGGAGGAUGGAAGACCAGCUUGAAAUAUAAACUUGCCAACUAUCGAACCCAGCUACGAAAACUGGGGUGCCCAGAGGUGACUUAACUUCUUUAAAGAACAAACCUGUUGGAAGAUGCAGCGCAGCCUUUGGUGUCAAAAAAGCAAAGAGGGCAGAAGUAAACUUUUGCCCAAAAUACCCAUCAGAACAAACUGAGGAAAGUCUAGAGGUGAUGCGGAACGCUUUACUCUUGGACUUAAAGAAGAGGAACAACAGAGAGUUGGUGAAACUAAAGAUGGAAAAAACAUUUGCAUACAGAAGACAUGAAAUUGUUCGUGAUGCACCAAUGGUGGAGGCUUUAAUGGCAAGAUGACCUGCUCUAUUUGACAUCCGUGAGAUCAACGCUGAGUUUAAGAGAAUUACCACCAUCCCACUUCAGUCAAAGUUCUUAUCUCAGCUGGACCUCCAUUUUAACAACCUGAUUAAGCUGUUCAAAAGAAGAGGAGGACAGCUUGGACAAAAGUUGAAACAAAUUGUGGCACAAAAGGAUGAUUGUGAAGAUGUUGAUACAGGACGAGUGUGUGUCAUUAAGAGAGUGUCCAUCUACAUGGGAGAAGAUUCCGACCACCUCAUCCGAGAGUAUGUGGGUAUGGAUGAAGCUGCCAUCAAUGAGGCCAUUGAAGACACCACUGUUGGAACUUAUCUUAUCAAGGAAGAAGCUUCAGCACAUGCACAAGAGGUUGGAGUUGUUCUUGAAGGCAUCAGGGUGAUGACUAACUUGGAUAAUAUAGCAUUUGCUGUGGUAAUGCUAUUUGGACUAAUAUAUGUGCUGAAUCUUGCAUAUUCUGCUGACCUUUGCUACACUUUUGAGGUGUUCCAGAAGAUUUUUAUGGAACUGGAUGGAGGUAAACUCUCCAACAAGGCGCUAGCUCUCAAAAACCGCCUCUUUGAAUGAGGCGUCAAAGAUCUUGAUUUUUUUCAUUUUCUAUCCAGUUAUGUUGUGAUGCUCACGGUUUCUUUUCUUUUUUUCUAUCUCUUUUCCUCAUGACUCCAUUGCUGGAUAAAAGUAUUUUCGUUUUUGUGUUCCAAUGUUUAGAAGAAAUGUUUGAGGGAUUGUAGAGAUAUGUUCUGGGUCAACCUUGAAGUAGCAGUAAGAAACCUUUUAUUAAAAAGAUGUUUUUUACAUAUUGUUUAAAAUGUCACUAAGUCAUUACAGUAUAACAUGAGACAGAUAAAUUGAAAAAAAAAAUCAUUUCUGUCUUAUACUGAUGGCAUAGGGACCGUUUUUGCAAAUAUGUAAAAAACAUUUAUUAUAAAAUUUGCAUACUGCUGCUUUCAUGUCAUGUUAUGUUAAGAAGAUUCAUGUAGUUGUUCAACAAUGUCAUCUAAGUGUAAAAUGUUGCUAUUAUUCUAAAUGGCUAAUUACAAAAGGUGUAUUAGGAUGUGAAAUCCUUAGCUGCUUGUGUUUUUCUUAAUUUUAGCUGAAAUGUUUUUAAACGGUACACACAUUCCAUGCGUUUCUCUUCAAAUUCAGUGUAAUGGGAAUUUUAGAAAUAUUUCAUACAAAAACAAGUUAUGCAUCUUUAAACCUGUUUAUUAAUAGAAGUUUGUUUCUAUUUUCAGGUAAGUCCUAAUUUAGUAUUAUUCCUUUUCAUUUUAAAAAUGUUAAAGGCAAAACUUUUGUAAAAGAUGGUAUCAUUUAUAGGCACUGUAGCUUUUAUUUUUUGCUAAGGCCAUUGUUCUUGUAAAAUGUUUACAAAUGUCUAAUAUUUAAAAUUGUUUUUGAGUUGUAUUUGCAUACAAGACUAAAAUCCCCAAAAGGUGUAAGAUGUUUUAUGGCUGUGAUUUUGGCUUGUUCAUGGCAGGUCUCUACUUUUGCUGAAGUUUUAAUAAAAGUGAA